Long non-coding RNA from Passer domesticus (house sparrow), 410 nucleotides. RefSeq lists it as uncharacterized. The record is from RefSeq and is a predicted model, not a curated record. The transcript has 3 exons. Lineage: Eukaryota; Metazoa; Chordata; Aves; Passeriformes; Passeridae.
GAAGGAAUGGCUAAGGAGGCAACCUAGAAAGCCACUGUGGUCAGGAACCCUUAAACUGGUGCUCUGAGGAAGAGACUGAGGGAAAAACUUCAGAGAGAAAUAAAUCAGCAAAAAAUAUAGAGAUGGAGAGACAUUGAUUUUUCUUUCUUGCUCCUACACACAGAGGACAUUGAUCCACCUCUGCAGCUUUUCAGAGUGGCAAGGAACAUCUUUGGCAAUUCUUACUACAGAUAUUAAAAAAACCUCCCCUGAAAAAAAGGAAGUGCUUUGAAAAUGAAGAUAACAAGUUCAACAAAGAUUAAAGGGUGAUUGGAAAGCAUAUGGAAGUUAAUGAGCAUAUUUCAAAGGGCUUCAGGCUGCCCAGUGCUGCAGGGAUAUGGAUGAGACAAAAAAGUCAAGUCUCGCAAAGG